RNAcentral lists this transfer RNA (90 nucleotides) under Lentisphaeria bacterium. RNAcentral's name for it is "tRNA-Ser". It matches the Rfam family "tRNA". From Rfam's summary of the family: Transfer RNA (tRNA) molecules are approximately 80 nucleotides in length. Their secondary structure includes four short double-helical elements and three loops (D, anti-codon, and T loops). Further hydrogen bonds mediate the characteristic L-shaped molecular structure. tRNAs have two regions of fundamental functional importance: the anti-codon, which is responsible for specific mRNA codon recognition, and the 3' end, to which the tRNAs corresponding amino acid is attached (by aminoacyl-tRNA synthetases). tRNAs cope with the degeneracy of the genetic code in two manners: having more than one tRNA (with a specific anti-codon) for a particular amino acid; and 'wobble' base-pairing, i.e. permitting non-standard base-pairing at the 3rd anti-codon position. Lineage: Bacteria; Pseudomonadati; Lentisphaerota; Lentisphaeria. The record is from RNAcentral.
GGAGAGAUGGCUGAGUGGUCGAAGGUGACGGUCUCGAAAAUCGUUGUAUCCUCACGGGUACCGAGGGUUCGAAUCCCUCUCUCUCCGCCA